AGAGCGAACGCUGGCGGCGUGCUUAACACAUGCAAGUCGAGUGCGCGCCUGUAGCAAUACAGGUGGCGCACGGCGCACGGGUGCGUAACACGUGGGUAAUCUGCCCUUCGAUGGGGAAUAACUCCGGGAAACCGAAGCUAAUUCCGCAUAACAUUCCUUGGACCUCGGUCUGGGGAUUCAAAGCCGUAAGGCGUCGGAGGAGGAACCCGCGCACGAUUAGUUAGUUGGCAGGGUAACGGCCUACCAAGACUUUGAUCGUUAG
RNAcentral lists this ribosomal RNA (262 nucleotides) under uncultured bacterium. Its description in RNAcentral is "partial small subunit ribosomal RNA". It matches the Rfam family "Bacterial small subunit ribosomal RNA", at positions 26 to 286 of the family's 1533-position model. The record is from RNAcentral.